UAUGCUUAGCCGUAAACCAUGAUAUCUAAAAUACAACUGAUAUCCGCCAGGGUACUACGAGCACUAGCUUAAAACCCAAAGGACUUGGCGGUUUUUCAGAUCCCCCUAGAGGAGCCUGUCCUAUAACCGAUAAUCCCCGUUAAACCUCACCACCCCUUGUUAAUCCCGUUUAUAUACCACCGUCGCCAGCUUACCCUGUGAAGGUUUAAUAGUAAGCAAAACGGGCACAGCCCAGAACGUCAGGUCGAGGUGUAGUGUAUGGGGUGGGAAGAGAUGGGCUACAUUUCCUAAACUAGGACACCACGGACAACACUAUGAAAUACAGUACCCGAAGGUGGAUUUAGCAGUAAGAAGAAAGCAGAGUGUUCUUCUGAAGUAGGCUCUGAGAUGCGU
RNAcentral lists this ribosomal RNA (393 nucleotides) under Polyipnus matsubarai. RNAcentral describes it as "partial 12S ribosomal RNA". It matches the Rfam family "Bacterial small subunit ribosomal RNA", at positions 791 to 1384 of the family's 1533-position model. The record is from RNAcentral. Lineage: Eukaryota; Metazoa; Chordata; Actinopteri; Stomiiformes; Sternoptychidae.